GACGAACGCUGGCGGCGUGCUUAACACAUGCAAGUCGAACGAAGUGGCGAACGGGUGAGUAACGCGUAAUCAACCUGCCCUUCCGAGGGGGACAACAGUUGGAAACGACUGCUAAUACCGCCUCCUGAAGGAGGGGAUUGCGUCUGAUUAGCUAGUGGGAGGGGUAACGGCCCACCAAGGCGAUGAUCAGUAGCCGGUCGGAGAGGAUGACCGGCCACAUUGGGACUGAGACACGGCCCAGACUCCUACGGGAGGCAGCAGUGGGGAAUCUUCCGCAAUGGACGAAAGUCUGACCGAGCAACGCCGCGUGAGUGAAGAAGGUUUUCGGGUCGUAAAACUCUGUUGUUAGAGAGGCGGUAUCUAACCAGAAAGCCACGGCUAACUACGUGCCAGCAGCCGCGGUAAUUC
RNAcentral lists this ribosomal RNA (408 nucleotides) under uncultured bacterium. RNAcentral's name for it is "partial 16S ribosomal RNA". It matches the Rfam family "Bacterial small subunit ribosomal RNA", at positions 28 to 526 of the family's 1533-position model. The record is from RNAcentral.